AGCGACGACUUCUUCUUCCACGUCUCCUUUCAAUUAUUUGGCGCGAGCGCUUGCUUCGGCCGACGUCGGUUUCCUGUGCUGAAUACCUAUUGCGAGGGCAUUGUGUCGGCUACGUUUGUUCGCUUCCCACCUUGUGCCGCUGCUCCACGUGGGCGUGCGGUGCGGGGCGGGCCAAAUCGCGCGCGUCGUGUGUCGCACCGCGUUCGCCCCUAGGGGCGUUCGGGUUGUCGACCCACGACGUGUGCUCGGUCUCUCGGGUACGGUGCAUCAUGUGGGUACGAAGCCUUUCGGCCUCCGAGCACCACAAUCAAGCGUUCUACGCUUCGUGCGAACGACCGUCGGUUCGGUCUUUGGCCGUGCUCUCGCAGCUC
This 371-nucleotide unclassified non-coding RNA is filed under the name Salvia brevilabra. RNAcentral's name for it is "partial external transcribed spacer". Lineage: Eukaryota; Viridiplantae; Streptophyta; Magnoliopsida; Lamiales; Lamiaceae. The record is from RNAcentral.